RNAcentral lists this ribosomal RNA (392 nucleotides) under uncultured bacterium. Its description in RNAcentral is "partial 16S ribosomal RNA". It matches the Rfam family "Bacterial small subunit ribosomal RNA", at positions 523 to 918 of the family's 1533-position model. The record is from RNAcentral.
AUACGGAGGAUCCGAGCGUUAUCCGGAUUUAUUGGGUUUAAAGGGUGCGCAGGCGGCCAUUUAAGUCAGCGGUUAAAUCGUGGGGCUCAACCCCAUUCUGCCGUUGAUACUGGGUGGCUUGAUUGCGGUCGAGGUUGGCGGAAUUCGUUGUGUAGCGGGUGAAUGCAUAGAUAUGACGAAGAACACCGAUUGCGGAGGCAGCUGACCAGACCGCAAAUGACGCUCAUGCACGAAAGUGCGGGGAUCGAACAGGAUUAGAUACCCUGGUAGUCCGCACAGUAAACGAUGAAUACUUGUUUUCGGCGAUAUAAUGUCGGAGGCAAAGCGAAAGCGAUAAGUAUUCCACCUGGGGAGUACGCCGGCAACGGUGAAACUCAAAUGAAUUGACGGGG